GGGUGAGUAACGCGUGGGACAUACCCUUUCCUGCGGAAUAGCUCCGGGAAACUGGAAUUAAUACCGCAUACGCCCUACGGGGGAAAGAUUUAUCGGGGAAGGAUUGGCCCGCGUUGGAUUAGCUAGUUGGUGGGGUAAAGGCCUACCAAGGCGACGAUCCAUAGCUGGUCUGAGAGGAUGAUCAGCCACAUUGGGACUGAGACACGGCCCAAACUCCUACGGGAGGCAGCAGUGGGGAAUAUUGGACAAUGGGCGCAAGCCUGAUCCAGCCAUGCCGCGUGAGUGAUGAAGGCCUUAGGGUUGUAAAGCUCUUUCACCGGAGAAGAUAAUGACGGUAUCCGGAGAAGAAGCCCCGGCUAACUUCGUGCCAGCAGCCGCGGUAAUACGAAGGGGGCUAGCGUUGUUCGGAAUUACUGGGCGUAAAGCGCACGUAGGCGGAUAUUUAAGUCAGGGGUGAAAUCCCAGAGCUCAACUCUGGAACUGCCUUUGAUACUGGGUAUCUUGAGUAUGGAAGAGGUAAGUGGAAUUCCGAGUGUAGAGGUGAAAUUCGUAGAUAUUCGGAGGAACACCAGUGGCGAAGGCGGCUUACUGGUCCAUUACUGACGCUGAGGUGCGAAAGCGUGGGGAGCAAACAGGAUU
Molecule: ribosomal RNA, 639 nt
Filed under: Rhizobium sp. EECC-285
Lineage: Bacteria; Pseudomonadati; Pseudomonadota; Alphaproteobacteria; Hyphomicrobiales; Rhizobiaceae
Description: bacterial SSU rRNA
Rfam family: Bacterial small subunit ribosomal RNA
Source: RNAcentral